CAUUCUGAGUCCUAAGCGAUUCCAGCCAAAGGUCAAAACUGAGAUGGCGAAAUUGAGGCAUAGAAGUCAAGAAAUUUGCUCAAGGUCGUGAAAGUAAUAAAUGGCGGAGCCAGUAUGUGAACACAGGCCAUGUCCAUUAUCAAUGUUCAGCUCAUUGUGGUGUGGAUCCUGUGAAAUCAUGAAGUGCAAGAGAAGUAUUUGAGGCACAGCAAACUUGUGGACUUGUUAGUCUGUAAUCCUUAUGUUCAGAAUCUGUAAAACUUCAGCACAAGUGACCUUUACCACACACGUAAAGAGGGAUGGAAGUUGACAUUAAGGGGGGCUAUCUGGUAUUCCCCAAUAAUAUGAAGUUGUCCUGCUUUUUAUUUAGCUCAAUGCUUCACCUGUUUUGGGUUCAUCCAUGAGUAUCUUUCAUAUCUAAGCAGGACAAUUUUUUACAUGGAUGUGAUGAUCUCUCCUGCAUUUUCCUAGAUGACAUGUCAUUUGAUAAAUUGGCUUAUUGAGCACAGAUAGCAGACUCGUGCAAACACCAACAGCGAGCCAAGAGAGUCAUCUGAAUGUUACAAUCCUCACCUGUGUCCAGAUGUGAAUUUGUUCCUUUUCUAAAUCCUCAAUAGAGUUUUCUUGGUUGCAGAGAUAUUUUUACUCACCCUGAUCACAGUGUUUGCCUCAAAUCUCAUAAAGCCGGACAUGUUACUGGUGCUCUGAAAGUCUUCUGCUUUGUGAACAAGGUUUAAUGAAUUGGGAGUAUCCGUGCACAUUGCUUUCACUCAAAAAGAGAAAAUCCUUUUAAACAGCUAUAGCUACAGAAAUUCAAUUUCGUUUAUUUAGGAGGAAAUGAGAAACUUGAAUUGUAGGUGUGGAGUCUUGCAAUCUUUUAGACUGAUAAAAGUAUGUUUGGGGGGAUGGUUGGAACAGCACCGAAUUGCUUCAGCCAAAAUUAUUUUUGUGAGUACAUUUCCAAACUCACGAUCAUGUUUUGAUAAGAAAAACCCCUUUCUCCACAAAUUCUCAGGUCCCACUCAUUGGCCCCUCACCUCCAGUUCUAAAACCUAUGUCAGACUGUUACAUGGCUCAGUUCUUGGUGAUAUGUUUUCAAUUUGAGUCAACUUGAUGAGAGAAAAAUUACUAAAAAGUGGGAAUGAGCUGUGAGGUGAAUAGGGCUUUCCUAUCAAAGUG
RNAcentral lists this long non-coding RNA (1179 nucleotides) under Equus caballus (horse). RNAcentral describes it as "lncRNA (ENSECAG00000047763.1)". The record is from RNAcentral. Lineage: Eukaryota; Metazoa; Chordata; Mammalia; Perissodactyla; Equidae.